CUUAAACAAAAGGGGGUGGAACCGGUUCCUAGGCCAGCCAGGAGAGAUGGGCCAGCUGGGAGAGGCUGAACUUCACUUGACGCGCACCACCUAGAGUUGAGUAUAGACUCUGGAGUUCUGUCUGUGUCUGUCUGUGUGUGUGUGUCUGUCUCUCCCCCCCCCCCCACACUCCUCCGCCCCGGGACACGUGGCUUAAGUUGUCCUCGAACUCCUGAUCAUUCUGCCGCUACUCUAUGAUACAUGUCAUUAUAGAUCAGUCUGGAGGCACAGAGUGUACCACAGCAAGGUUGAGCCUCCGUGCACACUAUGGUCUUUGUGGGUGACAAAGACGUGCCUUGUGUCUGAGUAAGUUUAUCGGCUGUAACGGGUGUACUGCAUGAGGGAUGGUGGGAAGGAGGGAAACUGAGGGUGUGGGAAUCCAGGAGAGCAUCUGUACUUCCACUUAGGACUUGAGAUUGGCGGGAGGUAGAACACUUCGCCAGCAUGGGUGAGGCGUGUCUCUGGCAGAGUAAAAAACAAAUACAUAAAUAAGUGAAUAUAGUCUCCCCGUAUUCCAGCUAAUUGAGGGUUAGGAGAAGGCCACCAUCCCUAGAAGUCCAGGAAGAAAAUGUGUUUAUAGAGUCCCAUACCCGAUCAUUUGUAGAGAGGUGAUUUAGCCAAGUGGUGGGGGAGCUGGCUCUGAAGUCAGAGGCUGUAAUUUGAAGCACUUAACUGUGGGGCCUACCCCGUGAACACUGCUCCAAAGCUGGAAAGAGCAGAGUAACAAAAGUCGUUGUGUGCACCUCUGUCGGUGCGCAUGCGUAAUUUCACACGGAGGGCAGAUUCUGGAAUGUCACAGAAAGCUACCAAAACCCGUAGGAUGCGUGGGAUGAACGGCCUUUACCGGCAGUCUCCUGCUCUCUUUCUGAGAACUUGUGAGAGCUCCCAACGUGCAGUAUGCUAGAAAAAGAAAGGGAGAGAGGGGUCAGCAGAGGCAGAAAUGCCGGCGCCAUUGCUUUGCCUCUGCAGUGGUGACUGUUGCCGCCUGAGAACAGUAUUUCUGGUUUUAGGCAGAUAAGAACAAAAUUCAAUAUUAAGAAAUUGAGGUCAUAUCCACAUGUUAAAAACACUGUGGCUGGGCAAGCCGUUAAACAAGUGGACUCUUGGAUAGCUGGAAAUCGAAACGGGGAAAUCCACACCCUCUUAGGGGUGCCUACUUAUGCUCACAUAUAGCAAACAAUAUUUCUGACUACUAUGUGCCAAGAACCACACCAAAUGAUCCCUUGGAGAGACCAAAGAAGGGAAGACGUGCAUGGUUACUGUCAGGAACUCUUGUAGAGCUUUUCGUAUGUAUGUUUGCCAUUUUAAAUGAACGAAAUAUUUUCUUUGUCCUCCAAUAAGAUAGAAAGUUGUUUGUAGAAGGCUGUCCUUGAAUUCACAGCCAUUUGUUGCCAUUUUGAUCAGAGAAGCACACAAGCAACCCUCAGAUGGGGCCUCUGGGUGGGUCACUAGACUCUCACCUGAGCUUCCGGGCACUCAUGUUUACACUCUCCCCUCCCCAUGUGAUUCCGCCACGGCUGCACAUUAUCUCAGGAAGGAGGCUCUGUCACAUAUAGGAAGCAGACAAUGAACACAUGGGCAGAAGGGCUCCAUCAGUGCAGCUGUGGAGAAGUUGUCACACAUCCUGGAGGAAGGUUUUCUCUUGGUACAGCUGCUUGGGGACACUUGUAAGUCACUCUAUGCCCAUGCUCCUGCAAAUAAGUAUGAUAAACUGAUUGGCUCUCUAAGCUACACUUGGGGAGAGUCGUUCCAAUUGUCCGUCUCUCGUGUCUUAUCUAAGCAGAGUAGAUGUCUGUUCUUGUCUCCCCAGGAAAAGUUAAUGCAACAAAGACCUACCCAGUUCACCGCAAAUUAAAGCAAAAGUCAGGAAGUUCUGCAAUAAAGAUACAGUCAGAGACAAGGAUGGUGGGCUCAUUCAGUGGAGGAGAAAUUGUUUUUUUAUGACUGGCUAUCCCUGCAUAAAAGAAUAAAUUUGACCCCUACCUCAUAUCGUCUAACUCAACAUGUAUUAUAAAACUUUGUGUAAGAUUCCCAGUACCAGGCAUGAUUUCCCUCUUGUUGAUUACCAUGAAGGCAUGUGUGCUAUUAUUGGAGAUUUAUGGUUAUUGUGCCUUGCUGGUCAUUAUCGUAGGUCACAGGUGUCACAGCUGGGCAGGACUCCUGGUCACUUUCCUUCUUUGGAAGCUUGCGUAGUGCCUUCUGGUACCAUGAGAAUUAGUCCUCAGGUCCUCAGGGAGGAGGUUUUCAGGUCAGAUCCUGCUCUGCCCUGUGGGCUCAUGGAUUUUGGAGAACUGUCUUAGUUAGGGUUUCUGUAGCAGCAACAAAAACAAAACACCAUUGACCAGAAAGCAAGUUGGGGAGGAGACGUCCGGAUCAUAGUCCAUCACUGGAGGAAGUCAGAACAGGAGCUCAAGCAGGAGUGGAACCUGGAGGCAGGAGGAGAGCUGCCUACUGGCUAGCUUCCCCUAGCUUGCACAGUCCACCCUUUCCUAAAACACAGGACCAGCAGCCCAGGGAUGGCACCUACGCAUGCUGGGCUGGGCCCUCUUCCACUGAUCAUGAAAUGGGAAAUACCUUACAGCUGGGUCUCACUGAAGCGUUUUCUCGACUGAGGCUCCUUCCUCGGAUGACUCAGUCUUAGUUCACGCUUCUUUAGGUUCACCAGGUAUACACUCCGUGACCUUUAUUUAUGGCUAGAAACCAAUUAUGAAACCUUCAUCUGGUGAUGGAUGGAGAUAGAGACAGAGACCCACACUGGAGCACUGGACUGAGCUCCCAAGGUCCCAAUGAGGAGCAGAUGGAGGGAGAACACGAGCAAGGAUGUCAGGAUCACGGGGGUUGUACCCACCCACUGAGACAGUGGGGCUGAUCUAUUGGGAGCUCACCAAGGCCAGCUGAACUGUGACUGAAAAAGCAUGGGAUAAAACCGGACUCUCUGAUCAUGGCGAACAAUGAGGACUGAUGAGAAGCCAAGGUCAAUGGCAAGGGGUUUUGAUCCUACUUCAUGUUCCGGCUUGGUGGGAGCCUAGCCAGUUUGGAUGUUCACCUUCCUAGACAUGGACAGAGGGGGGAGGACCUUGGACUUUCCACAGGGCAGGGAACCCUGACUGCUUUUUGGAUUGGAGAGGGA
Molecule: long non-coding RNA, 3169 nt
Organism: Alexandromys fortis (reed vole)
Lineage: Eukaryota; Metazoa; Chordata; Mammalia; Rodentia; Cricetidae
Exons: 3
Source: RefSeq, a predicted model, not a curated record